AGGCGGCGCCUCCUGCUUUGGAUUGAGGCUGUUUGUGAGGAAGUUGAGGUCGAUCAGCUGCAGCUGAUUCUGGUUUGUUGUUGUUCCUGUUGUGGCUGUACAGUAACUACAGAUACAGGAUGCAGGACAGUGAAUCCAGUGUCUCAUGUGGCCCUGCAGCUUCUCCUCCUCCACCUCCUCCUGAAGCCUUCAUCUUCUUCAUCAUCAGCUGCUCAGUGACUCUGUUGGACGUCUCACCGUGUGGCAGCAGCUCAGGAGUUUGCAGUCAACCAAGGCCGACUCAGAAUCACUCCCACCGGGAAGAUCUGUGAAGGAAGGUCCACCCGGCUGGUCCAGAAGCUCCGGUCCAGCAGAGCAGCGUCAGGAUGGAGACGUAACCGGUGUUGAUGUUACCGCCUUGACGAAUAGAAGAAAAGCCUGUAUUUGGGUAUGAAGGGCCGGUAGUCCAGAGGUAGUGAUGCUGGUUUGGAACCUGGAGAGUGCAGGUUCGAUCCCCCACCCUGCUCAAGCUUUUUUUUCACAUUUGGGCAAAAUUUGCCAAAAAUCUUAUUGAAAGACAUUGGAAGGAAAGCUGCCUUGCUGCCUUGCUGCCUUGCUGCCUUGCUGCCUUGCUGCCUUGCUGCCUUGCUGCCUU
Molecule: long non-coding RNA, 634 nt
Organism: Amphiprion ocellaris (clown anemonefish)
Lineage: Eukaryota; Metazoa; Chordata; Actinopteri; Pomacentridae
Source: Ensembl